Arvicola amphibius (Eurasian water vole) is the source of this 2787-nucleotide long non-coding RNA. RefSeq lists it as uncharacterized. Lineage: Eukaryota; Metazoa; Chordata; Mammalia; Rodentia; Cricetidae. The transcript has 3 exons. The record is from RefSeq and is a predicted model, not a curated record.
GCUGGUUGGCGGCAGCUUCCUCCGGUUUCCCACGCUGUCCUUUCCUAGCUGACCCUCCCGAGAAAGCUUUCCCGCGAGGCUGGAAGAGGAGUGGCAAUGAGGACUUUUCUUACAAGCUGCAGAAACGACAUUAAACCACAUACCAGGAGAACGUUCUUAGAGUUGGAAAGCUGUGCAUCAUCAAUUGUCUCUGUUGUGAUUUCCUGGAUUGGCCACAGAUGACUUUGUUCAUGUAGCUCAUUGACCCUUGGUUGGAAAGUCCUUCUCAGUUCUUCAUAAUCCAAGACAGCAGCUGACAUCAAUGUAAAAAGAGAAAGAAGCUAAAAACAGUUGCGUGUGUACGCCCUGAAUUGCAUAUUCAGUUGCAAAAUCAUCAUCAUUAUUAUUGUAAUUACAGAGGGGAGGCAUUUCAAUAAUUGUUCAAAGUGUCUUCUUGAGGAAAUAAGUAAAUCAGGGCCAGCUGUCACAAGCCAAUCUACAAUAAUGAUCCCCGUAUGUGCGUCUUCGGGAUUCAUAACAAUCUACAAUAACAAAUUUGUGCAUUCGUCUACUGUCCCUGAACAGCCUAAAAAAAAUAACAAACCUAUGAUCCGCUCUGAUGUCUCACUUGGUAGUUCACUUGGAUUUUUAAAACAGCAUCCUUGAAUAACCUUAGAGUCAAUAACUGCCAAACAAAAAUUGCAUCACCAAUUUAAUAACGAACAAUGGUGGGUAGCCUGGCAUCCGUCCACCUGUGACAGGAUGGCCACAAACCGAGGUUUCUGAGCCAAGGGGAAGCCAGGUAGACAGAUCUGCAGACAAUGGAGACUGUUUGGAAAGACCCAUCCACUGAGGCAGACGAGCUCUUUUGGCUUGAGAAUUACAAACAGAAACUGUGAAGGCCUUGUUUUCAGCCUACUUGUGAAAUCGGCCCCAAGUAUUUCAGAUUUCGCUCCUCCCAAGAUCCAGCUGUGAAAUGACUAACGGAUAUGAAGUGACACCACACCAGGAACUGAUGUGCCACUUCACUGAACGGAACACGUCCCUGACAGAGGCCGUCCUCGUAGAUUAAUACCUAUGAGAGACGGCACAGAGAAAGUACUGGGCUGCACCACCCCAUAGGCCGAAAGACAGAUUUACUGGGGAUCGAGGCAGAGAGAAAAGCAAACUGCUGGGGAAACAAGAAGAUUUUAUAUGACACCCAGCAGAGUAGGGAUCUGAGCUGACACGGACGGUUGGAUUGACCCGGAACUAGAUGCUCUUGCCUGACAUAGCUGCUGGCCUUUGGGGGAAGAUUAAGGGGCAAGAUUCCUGGUAAACAGAAACCUCCAGAAGAGAGCUGCUUUUCUAGUGAACAUAAACCUUCAGGCUUGCUCAAAAUCCUUCGGUUUACCCAGCCAAAGUCCUCCUGUUUAGGACAAUGUCACCUGCACUGCCAUUUUGGAGGAAGGAGGAUUUUGGACCUGACAAUACCCUGGAUGCUUUAAAGAGGACCAGCCAAGCACAAGCACAGAGCAAUUACAAAGAAUGAGAAUCAUCUGAGAGCCUUCUCAAAAUGUCCUCAUAUCUUGGUAGCUUUGAAUUGUGGUUAUAUCUCUAAUUUCGUGUUCUCGAAGAACCUGCAGAGACAGGGAAAGAAAGAGGAGAAGGAAAAUUGCCGAUCACAUUGCUUUUCUCUCGCUGGACCACUUAGGCUUUUCCAAAUCCAAGUUUUGCUGAAGGCUGGGCCUGAGCCAGGAGAGAAGGGUGAAUGACCUCAAGCUGCUUCACGAGCUUGCCAGCUGCUCUGCUGCAGCCUUCUUAGGUGCUAAGAAUCAUCUUCCUCAUCACAAUGGCUCAGUACAUUUCCAUAUUUGCACUCCCAGCUAAAAGCGAUUUAAGCAGCGUGCAACCUUAUCUCGCUUCAGUAGUUGAGAGAUUUCCUUCAAAAGCAUCAGAAGGGGCAUUGAGAGACAUUUGGGAAGUGGUGUUGAGGUAUAUUUUGCAUAUUUUUAAUUGUAAAAGUAAGACUUAACAAUGAUGAAAAUAAAUGGAAACUCCAAAACGGUUUUGUAUAAAAAGACAAAGAUGCCCUUGCUUUUAUCACAAGUUAAAACUCUGAGAACUAUUUCUCAGCCUAUAUUUUCCAUAUAAGGAUAUAGAAUGCAUACAAAAUUUCUAUUCAGAGUGAUUAUGUAAAUACACAGUAUCUUGUAUGCUGUAUCUAAUAAUACGUCAGCAAAAUUACAUGUCAGCACAUGGAGAUCUUGUAGUCACUAUAUGUGCCGUAAAGCCGACCACUGCCUAAUUAAUGGACAUUUAAAUUCUUUGCUCUUUAUACUGUUGUUAUUAUUACAAAUAACGCUCCCAUCAAUAACCUUAUAUUUAGAAACCUCUGUUGUGACUUUAUCCAUAGAAUAAAUUACUUCAAAGAAAUUUCUAGAUCAUAAUACAUGUGCAUUUAAGAUGUACACUCAAUGACAACUCUUCCUUGCUCAGCAUGUGCAAGGUCCUAGGUUCAAACACACACAAUUAAAUGCUUCCAAAUUGCAACCUUCCCACAUUGUCCUGAUUCAGUCUCCAUAGCAGUGUACAUUCACUGAGCUUUGCUGAGAAGCACAUUUUAUUGAACUUAAACAUCUGUCACUCAGAAGCAUGGGUAUGUUCUCACGGCUUGUAUUUUUCUAAGCACUCGUGAAGCUGAACAUGUUUUCCAAGGGAUUUUGACCACACGUACUUUUUUCCUUUUUUUAAAAGAUUUGUUUAUUUGUUUGUUUGUUUGUUUGUUUAUUAGGCAUACAAUGCUCUGUUGACAUGUACACACCAGAA